Molecule: long non-coding RNA, 2206 nt
Organism: Papaver somniferum (opium poppy)
Lineage: Eukaryota; Viridiplantae; Streptophyta; Magnoliopsida; Ranunculales; Papaveraceae
Exons: 3
Source: RefSeq, a predicted model, not a curated record
UCUUUCUUAUUCUCUUUUCUUUUCUCUCUUUCUUCUUCCCUUUCUUCUUUUUCUCUGGCGAUUCCGGGAGGAAUUAUCCGAUUUGAAACCUUUGCAGAAAAUUGGUGAGAUCAAUCAACCGAGUGGGGUAUCGAUGAGUUCAUAGUUUGGGUUUAGUCAGAAUCAUCGAUUAAGUUGGAGAGAGGUGUUCCUGUGAAAGUUAGGGUUUCUUUGAGAUGAAGUUAUGGAGGAAUUGAUUAAUUAAAAGAGGAUUUAAGUAGUUAGUGAUGAAUAACAAAAGGGGUUGGUUUUUAAUUGAAGUCUGAAGUUGAGUCAAUGUUGAAUCAGAGUGCUAGGGUUUCAUGUUCUUCCCCAAGUUAAGAACUAGGGUUUUGGAUGUUGAAUGAAGAUUCAAUUUGGAGUUAGAAAAGAAGAAAUUGAAGAUUGGAUGUGGUGAUUUGAGAGGUGAAUCGAAGUGUGGAACUCAGAUUAGAAAGAUAAAAGAAUUGGGAAGUUUUGGGGUUUCUUGUGAAUCAGUGAGGGUGAUGAAGAUUGUUGGUAGUUUUGAGAUGUUUGUUCAAUUGAGGCAGAGGAAGAAAGAGCUCGACCUCAGUUUCCUGUGUAGAACUGAUUUGAGGUAAUUGUUUCUAUGAUAUGAUUCAAUUUAGUUAUUCAGUAUCAUUGUUUGAUUUUAUGUUAAUCGAAAUGGAGAUUUAAAUGACAUGGUAGAUAGGUGAUAAAUGUGGUUGUUUUUGAAGAUGAAUGUUUGUUGUAUGGUGUUGAUGAAUUAGAGUUAGGUAAAGAGGCUUGUGAUGCUGUUGUGGGUGUUAUUGAUUGAAGUUGAAUGAGACUUGAGAUUUAAGUAUAAAGGUUGGUACUGAUGGUGGUAUAAAUCUAAAUGGUGAUAACUGUUGCAAGAAGAAGUUUGUUGUCUGAGUUUGGUAAAUACAAUGGAAGGUUCAGAAACUGCAGGACAAUGUUAAUGGGGAUAUGAGAGGGUUUAAAGUUCAGUGGAUUGAUAUACGUUGAGAAGAAAUAAGUGCAGCUGUUAAUGUAAAUGGGUAUGAGCAGAUGAUGGUGGUCUUAACUGAAAUGAUAGUACUAGAUAUAAGCUGAGUCUGAUGUGUAUGAAGGUGACUGUGUAUUUUUGAAGAUGAGGUGUUGAAGUCAGUUAUUAAGAAGAAUGAGAGUUGAGUUGUUGUUGACAGUGGUGGACUAAUGGAUUCCAGGAUGCUUAUAUGGAGAUGAAAUUGAUGUUAGUUUGGAGAUGGUAAUGGAACUGAAUUAGUAGUAUGAGUGAGAUUCAGGGUGGAGGUCUUAGUGGUUUGAGUCAGUGAGCAUGUAUAGCAGAUGGUUGUGUUGAGAUGCAACUGUAAAUAUCAUAUGAAUUGUAGAAAGAUGUUGCUUAAAGCUGAAAUUGCAGUUAGUCUAUAUUAACAACGAUCGAUUCAAGGAUGAACCAGUGGAUCGUGGAUCUCGAGGUAGGCGUGGCUUGUCAUCAAAAGAGUUUCAGAGACAGAUUCAGAAUUGCGCAACGAAAGCUUCGAGGAAUUGAGUCCGUUAGUCGGUUAACUUCGACUAUGUUUAUUAUGUUGCAUAUUGUAUUUGUAAACCAAAUAACUAUUGUAUAUGUAUCAUUUGAGAGGAGUUCUUGUAUAUAUAUUUCUGAGCGGGGCUAGUUUUUGGGUUAAGUUUUGUAGCAGAUUUAUUAAUUGAAGGUUUAAGUAAAGGAUUAGAUUCUUAUUGCCUCUUUAUUUAGUUAAUCUCUUUGAUUAGACAGCUGCCAGCUUAGGGGGCGCUACAAUAUUGGUAUUAGAGAUCACUAUUAGAUCUUAUAUGGAAAAAGAUAGAAAUAGUCAGUGCCAGUUAGUGAAAUAGAUUAGUUUGGAACUGGGUUGGGUUGUGAGAUAAAUCUUAAUCACUAAAAGUUAUUAAUAAUUAAAAGACUUAUUUGAUUGUUUGUUUGUUUGAUUGUUUGUGUAUGUAAUGAAGUAAAAAUUGUAGGGUACACCAGUAACUUUAGCUAAUAAAGGUUAGGGAAUAAUCAGUCUAAAAUGUAUGAACACGUAGACAAUUCAAUACUAAAAAUUGUGAGAUUAGUAUUAUUGAUGAAUCUUGAAGGUCACAUAGAAACUUAUUGAAUAUCUUGACUUAUACGCAGAGUAAACAAUUUAUAAUUACAUAAAUAUUUAUGAUAUUUUUGGGACUUAAUAAUAUUUGUCGAAUA